Molecule: ribosomal RNA, 253 nt
Filed under: uncultured bacterium
Lineage: Bacteria
Description: partial 16S ribosomal RNA
Rfam family: Bacterial small subunit ribosomal RNA
Source: RNAcentral
UACGGAGGGUCCAAGCGUUAUCCGGAAUCAUUGGGUUUAAAGGGUCCGUAGGCGGCUUAGUAAGUCAGUGGUGAAAGCCCAUCGCUCAACGGUGGAACGGCCAUUGAUACUGCUAAACUUGAAUUAUUAGGAAGUAACUAGAAUAUGUAGUGUAGCGGUGAAAUGCUUAGAUAUUACAUGGAAUACCAAUUGCGAAGGCAGGUUACUACUAAUGGAUUGACGCUGAUGGACGAAAGCGUGGGUAGCGAACAGG